GAGCUCACUUCGGCAGCACAUAUACUAAAAACGGAAUGACACAGAGGAGAUUAGCAUGGCCCCUGCGCAAGGAUGACACACAAAUUUGUGAAGCAUUCCAUAAAAUA
Molecule: small nuclear RNA, 107 nt
Filed under: Antrostomus carolinensis (chuck-will's-widow)
Lineage: Eukaryota; Metazoa; Chordata; Aves; Caprimulgiformes; Caprimulgidae
Source: RNAcentral